AGGUCCAUAUCAAUUUGUCGACGUUCAACUCAUCCAUCCUGGCUGGUGUCGCGUGCAGCCAGAUGCCCCUCUGGUUUCCAGCACUCCUCUCUGCCUGACAUCAGCAGCAGCAUUGCCUUUUUCAUGCUGCUGCUUUUGCUUGUCCAUUGUCUGUUGUGUGUCACUGGGCUGGCCAGCCUGGUUGGAGCAGAAGCAAGUAAAUUGACGCACGCACAUGCCAAUGCAGCGCAGGCUUACUCGCGAUCGGGUCGAGAUCUCUGCAGCUUUCCGAGGCUAGUGGAGCCGGUGCAUCAUAUUCGCGUGUCGGUGGUGCGUGCAGCCCGAUUCGCGUGUGGCCGCAUCUUCUGCCAUUGCAUAUGCAUGCCUGCCCCUGCCCUGUCUGUCUGUUUAGUCUGGAGUACAACCGAAAGGGGGGCGAAAGAGCGUUGUCAGGUACUAUCAUCGAACAAGAGGGAAAGGAAAACAUCAAAAUUAUUGGUGACUUGGUGAUCUACUUUGGAACAAAAUUGAAUGGGGGCGAGCACGCACCACCGGCCGUACAUACAUUGCUCAUUGGAUCCAUGGCAGCUACAUACCUGUAAGGGCCAAUUGGUGCCAUCCGCUUAGGUACAUUUGGCAGUACUCAUCCGCUUAGCUAUACAAUCACCGUCAGUACUAAUAUUCCAGCCUUCCAGGCAAGUACCGGAGUACGUACGCUAGCCAACUUUUUGAUCUGCCAAUGGAGCGGAAACUAAUCUCCACCCAGCCUGUCUGAAUUCCUCUUCUUUCUGGUCCGGAGUGCUCGUACUCCUCCCUUUGACGCGGCAGCAGGCAUGCAACCGAAAGAAGCAAGCGAUUGAUGAUGCCAUAGGACACAGAUCGCACUGGAAAAAGGAACAUGAGUACUCUGAUGCUACAAAUUCGGCAUGAUUAAGCAGGAGAUGACUGACUUGAUCGAUGAUACCUUUUGGUCGUUGUGCCUUUCCUUUUCUCCUCCUCUUUAUUCAUGUGUGUGCAUAGGUUCUUGCAGGCAGGUUCCCUUUGCUUGUUCCUGACUGCUUUCUUAUUACUUUCUUCACCUUCUUGAUCAAUCUCUCCAAGAAAGGCCACAGUGGCAACAUCCAUGUAAAUACAUGUAAUUGAUUCCCUUCUAGUGCAGUGCUCCCUUUCUUGGGAAAAUUUAAGCAGGGGCGGUUGAAAAUCAAA
Long non-coding RNA from Brachypodium distachyon (stiff brome), 1185 nucleotides. RefSeq lists it as uncharacterized. Lineage: Eukaryota; Viridiplantae; Streptophyta; Magnoliopsida; Poales; Poaceae. The record is from RefSeq and is a predicted model, not a curated record. The transcript has 2 exons.